UACGUAGGGUGCAAGCGUUGUCCGGAAUUAUUGGGCGUAAAGAGCUCGUAGGCGGUUUGUCGCGUCUGCUGUGAAAACUCGGGGCUUAACCCCGGGCCUGCGGUCGAUACGGGCAGGCUCGAGUUCGGUAGGGGAGACUGGAAUUCCUGGUGUAGCGGUGAAAUGCGCAGAUAUCAGGAGGAACACCGGUGGCGAAGGCGGGUCUCUGGGCCGAUACUGACGCUGAGGAGCGAAAGCGUGGGGAGCGAACAGG
This 253-nucleotide ribosomal RNA is filed under the name uncultured bacterium. RNAcentral's name for it is "partial 16S ribosomal RNA". It matches the Rfam family "Bacterial small subunit ribosomal RNA", at positions 524 to 776 of the family's 1533-position model. The record is from RNAcentral.